This 494-nucleotide ribosomal RNA is filed under the name uncultured bacterium. Its description in RNAcentral is "partial 16S ribosomal RNA". It matches the Rfam family "Bacterial small subunit ribosomal RNA", at positions 28 to 506 of the family's 1533-position model. The record is from RNAcentral.
GGUGAACGCUGGCGGCGUGCCUAAUACAUGCAAGUAGAACGCUGAAGGAGGAGCUUGCUCUUCUGGAUGAGUUGCGAACGGGUGAGUAACGCGUAGGUAACCUGCCUGGUAGCGGGGGAUAACUAUUGGAAACGAUAGCUAAUACCGCAUGACAACAGUUAUUGCAUGAUAACUGUUUAAAAGGGGCAACUGCUCCACUACCAGAUGGACCUGCGUUGUAUUAGCUAGUUGGUGAGGUAACGGCUCACCAAGGCGACGAUACAUAGCCGACCUGAGAGGGUGAUCGGCCACACUGGGACUGAGACACGGCCCAGACUCCUACGGGAGGCAGCAGUAGGGAAUCUUCGGCAAUGGACGGAAGUCUGACCGAGCAACGCCGCGUGAGUGAAGAAGGUUUUCGGAUCGUAAAGCUCUGUUGUAAGAGAAGAACGAGUGUGAGAGUGGAAAGUUCACACUGUGACGGUAUCUUACCAGAAAGGGACGGCUAACUACGU